CAUCUCUUUUAAAAACACUGUUUCGUUGGAUCCUUUGGGCGCGCGCGUGCGACAAUGACACCAACGACACCGGGGUCAAAAGAGAGAGAGAGAGAGAGAGAGAGAGAGAGAGAGAGGGAGAAAGGCGGCUAGAGCACGACGACGUCGCUGCAGCCCGCGAAAAAGGGCACGCCGCCAGUCCGGUCGGUGCAUCGAAUCAUCGCAUCGUCGCCAUCGUCGUCAUCGUCAUCUUCACCGGCGCGGGCCUCGUACAGGGAACCAUCGUCGCCGCCUUGCGCGUGUGCUGGAUCGAGCGAGGCCAGGAGCGGACCGAUGUCGUCGUCCUCCGAGGCGGGUGCAGCGAGCGGCAAUAACCAAAGGGCCGCCGCGACGGUCCACACGCACGACACCACGAGCACGCCGCCGCACAGCACGGCCGUCCACUCGAAAAAGGCCGCCGGGUGCGCGGCCGCCGGCGCCAGCAGGAGCACACCGAGGGCGGCCACAUAGGCCGGCACCUGGCAUGCCACGUUGACCAGCAGCGGAUCGACGGCCAUGUGCGACGCGCCGAUCAGGCGUUCAAAGACGAUGCCGCCGCCGCUAAAAGGCACCAAGGCGAAAAAGUGGCCCACGCCGCCGCUGACGAGAAAGACGAGCGGCGACAGCCAGCCGGCGGCGGAUGCCACGCCCGUCAAGAGUAUGACCGUGGCGGCGACGAGACCGACGCCGCCGAUGACGACAAAGGCCCGACGAUUGUCCCUGAGCCAAAUGAGCGGCACAUAGCACAGGCACGCGGCGACGCACGCUGGCGCGUCGGCCACCACCGAGUGCCACCAGGGGGCGUCGGCUCCCACGAGAUCGGCCGUGAAGACGUCGCGCACGGCGCCGAGCCCCUGGAGCGCGGCGUUGCUCACCGCCAGCCCCAGGACGAGGCUCCAGUGCCGAUGGAACCAGGCUCGGUCGGCGCCGGUCGACAUGGCCUUAAUGUCCACUGCGCUACCGGGGGCACGGUAGAGUAGCACCUGGGCGCCGGUGCUAUCAUCGCGCUCGCGGGCGCCGACGUGGGCAGAACGCGCGCGCACAUCCGCCUGGUUGGGUGGCGGCAUCGCCGUCAGGGCUGCCGCCGCUGCCAGCGUGGGCACGGCACAGAGCACGCUCACGGCCAGGGGCAUCCACAGGUGUCCGUCAUUGUCGCUGGUAUCGCCCACGCCACCCAGCCAGUCGGCGACGUACAGGGAGAGGGGCCUCGACGCGGCGGGCGCCAAGAGGAUGGCCAGAGUGGCGACGGGCAUGGCCACGUCGGACGCGCGGCGCCCCUGUGCGCACGCCAGAUAAGCGCAAAAGGCCAGUGAGAUGACGGCCGACCCGGCAAAGCGCCCGACCAGCUGGAGGGCGAGACCGCCGAUGCCGCCCACGGCACCCAGGGCAAAGGCCGCGUUGGGCACGGCGCCGUAGAUGAGGGGCAAGAGGGCGAGGGCGACCGGUCGCCGCCAGCCGCCCGUGGCGAGGCGUCUCAAAGGCCCGUAGAGUGCGGCGGCAAAGCCCAAGGGCAUGGCGGCCGCGCGCGCGAUGGACAAGAGGGCCUUGGUCGUGUAGGGGCCACCGCCCGGCCGAUCGUCAAUCUCCACGGUGAGCGCAAACACGGCAAGGCCGGGCACCAGCGCGGCCAUCCAAUAGGUGGCCGCCGCCGCCGAGAGCCACGCGACCAUCACCGACAAUCGCUGCCCGGCGGCGUGGCGCACGCGCCCGCACCGACCGGCGGGCGUGAGGUCGUCGCUGAAAAACACGGGCAGGCUGGGCUCGCCCUUGAGUGCCUCGUCGAGGGCCUCCUCUUCCUCGUCCCAUCGGGUCACGAUACGCGACCGUUCGCGCAACAGCGACAUCCCUAG
This 1868-nucleotide long non-coding RNA is filed under the name Pandoravirus neocaledonia. RNAcentral's name for it is "hypothetical ncRNA". The record is from RNAcentral.